GAUGAAGAACGUAGCAAAAUGCGAUAAGUAAUGCGAAUUGCAGAAUUUCCGUGAAUCAUCGAAUCUUUGAACGCACAUUGCGCCCGCCAGUAUUCUGGCGGGCAUGCCUGUUCGAGCGUCAUUACAACCCUCAGGCCCCCGGGCCUGGCGUUGGGGAUCGGCGGAAGCCCCCUGCGGGCACAACGCCGUCCCCCAAAUACAGUGGCGGUCCCGCCGCAGCUUCCAUUGCGUAGUAGCUAACACCUCGCAACUGGAGAGCGGCGCGGCCACGCCGUAAAACACCCAACUUCUGAAUGUUGACCUCGAAUCAGGUAGGAAUACCCGCUGAACUUAAGCAUAUCAAUAAGCGGAGGA
RNAcentral lists this unclassified non-coding RNA (354 nucleotides) under soil metagenome. RNAcentral describes it as "partial contains 5.8S ribosomal RNA, internal transcribed spacer 2, and large subunit ribosomal RNA". The stretch from base 1 to 121 matches the Rfam family "5.8S ribosomal RNA", at positions 35 to 154 of the family's 154-position model. The record is from RNAcentral.